Non-coding RNA from Pelobates cultripes (western spadefoot toad), 238 nucleotides. The record is from the annotation of a GenBank genome assembly. NCBI's taxonomy places the organism in Eukaryota, Metazoa, Chordata, Amphibia, Anura, Pelobatidae.
CUUAAAUGACAAUCGACUAUAAACCAAGAAGAGUACUGGGCACAGGUAAGGGGUCCAAGGUAGUUGUAUUGGAGGAGGUACAGAAACACAAGUUUGGCUAUAAAAGAGCCUUUAUCUACUAAACAGCUGAAAGAACAAACAUUUAAAAAGCCAUUUUCUUAAUUUUGAUCUUUCUAAGUUGGUAUCCUUGUGUGGGAUUGCUAUAUAAAUAUAUAUAUUUGUGCUCGGAAUUUAAUAU